UAACUUCUACUAAAAAUAUAUAAGGGGUAUUUAUAGUACAUGAGAAAACCCUAAAAUAAAAAUCCGGAUGAAAAAGAACAAAAAAGGUUGGUGGCCACUUACCUAUGUCCACAUAUAACCUGGACUUGGGCUAAUGUUCCAUAUGCGGCCUGACUCUGGGAGCAUGUAGACAUGGGUAAGUUCUAGAAAAAAUUUCUGCACUGUUUGCUCUUAGGACUUUGGACUUCUGGCACUUACCUUACCCAUAUGCGGCCCGUAUGUUGAGAUAGGUAAGUGCCAGAAGUUCUUUUUCAGCUCUUUCACUCUCUGGAUCUCUAAUUCUGGUACUUGCCUUAGUCACAUAAGGACAACAUGUGCUAUAUGCGGUCCGCAUGUAGACAUAGGUAAGUGUCAGGCCUUCUAAAUAUUAUAACCAAGCUUCCAAACUUCAAGUUUCAAUACAUGCUUUGAUCACGUACAUCCAAAAAGUGCCACAAAUUCCAA
Molecule: long non-coding RNA, 483 nt
Filed under: Capsicum annuum
Lineage: Eukaryota; Viridiplantae; Streptophyta; Magnoliopsida; Solanales; Solanaceae
Description: long non-coding RNA (CANN_LNC021594)
Source: RNAcentral